AUUCGGGCUCCCGCCUCUGUUCAGGACACUGGGUCCCCUAGGAGCCUCCCCAGGCUUAAUGAUUGUCCAGAAGGCGGCUAUAAAGGGAGCCUGGGAGGCUGGGUGGAGGAGGGAGCAGAAAAAACCCAACUCAGCAGAUCUGGGAACUGUGAGAGCGGCAAGCAGGAACUGUGGUCAGAGGCUGUGCGUCUUGGCUGGAGGGACAAGGUCCCUGACUCCAAUCCUGAGCCCUUUGCCCCAUGUUGGGUGGUGGAGCAACAGAACUGCUAGAGGCCCGGGACUGGCAUCCAGGGUGAGGGUUCAUCACCAGCAGCCAGUCGGCAGCUUAUGCUAUCAGCAAGUUUGUCAGUGGGGUGCUGUCUGACCAGAUGAGUGCUCGCUGGCUCUUCUCUUCUGGGCUGCUCCUGGUUGGCCUGGUCAACAUAUUCUUUUCCUGGAGCUCCACAGUACCUGUCUUUGCUGCCCUCUGGUUCCUUAAUGGCCUGGCCCAGGGGCUGGGCUGGCCCCCAUGUGGGAAGGUCCUGCGGAAGUGGUUUGAGCCAUCUCAGUUUGGCACUUGGUGGGCCAUCCUGUCAACCAGCAUGAACCUGGCUGGAGGGCUGGGCCCUAUCCUGGCAACCAUCCUUGCCCAGAGCUACAGCUGGCGCAGCACGCUGGCCCUGUCUGGGGCACUGUGUGUGGUUGUCUCCUUCCUCUGUCUCCUGCUCAUCCACAAUGAACCUGCUGAUGUUGGACUCCGCAACCUGGACCCCAUGCCCUCUAAGGGCAAGAAGGGCUCCUUGAAGGAGGAGAGCACCCUACAGGAGCUGCUGCUGUCCCCUUACCUGUGGGUGCUCUCCACUGGUUACCUUGUGGUGUUUGGAGUAAAGACCUGCUGUACUGACUGGGGCCAGUUCUUCCUUAUCCAGGAGAAAGGACAGUCAGCCCUUGUAGGUAGCUCCUACAUGAGUGCCCUGGAAGUUGGGGGCCUUGUAGGCAGCAUCGCAGCUGGCUACCUGUCAGACCGGGCCAUGGCAAAGGCGGGACUGUCCAACUACGGGAACCCUCGCCAUGGCCUGUUGCUGUUCAUGAUGGCUGGCAUGACAGUGUCCAUGUACCUCUUCCGGGUAACAGUGACCAGUGACUCCCCCAAGCUCUGGAUCCUGGUAUUGGGAGCUGUAUUUGGUUUCUCCUCGUAUGGCCCCAUUGCCCUGUUUGGAGUCAUAGCCAACGAGAGUGCCCCUCCCAACUUGUGUGGCACCUCCCACGCCAUUGUGGGACUCAUGGCCAAUGUGGGCGGCUUUCUGGCUGGGCUGCCCUUCAGCACCAUUGCCAAGCACUACAGUUGGAGCACAGCCUUCUGGGUGGCUGAAGUGAUUUGUGCGGCCAGCACAGCUGCCUUCUUCCUCCUACGAAACAUCCGCACCAAGAUGGGCCGAGUGUCCAAGAAGGCUGAGUGAAGAGAGUCCAGGUUCCGGAGCACCAUCCCACG
Molecule: small RNA, 1471 nt
Filed under: Pan troglodytes (chimpanzee)
Lineage: Eukaryota; Metazoa; Chordata; Mammalia; Primates; Hominidae
Description: processed transcript
Source: RNAcentral